RNAcentral lists this small nuclear RNA (103 nucleotides) under Castor canadensis (American beaver). The record is from RNAcentral. Lineage: Eukaryota; Metazoa; Chordata; Mammalia; Rodentia; Castoridae.
UCGCUUCGGCAGUGCAUAUACUAAAAUUGGAGUGAUACUGAGAAGAUUAGCACGGCCCCUGUGCAAGGAUGACACGCAAAUUCAUGAAGUAUCCCAUUUUCUU